RNAcentral lists this ribosomal RNA (181 nucleotides) under Ponticaulis sp. RNAcentral's name for it is "partial 16S ribosomal RNA". It matches the Rfam family "Bacterial small subunit ribosomal RNA", at positions 1 to 189 of the family's 1533-position model. Lineage: Bacteria; Pseudomonadati; Pseudomonadota; Alphaproteobacteria; Hyphomonadales; Hyphomonadaceae. The record is from RNAcentral.
CACUCAACAUGAGAGUUUGAUUCUGGCUCAGAACGAACGCUGGCGGCAGGCUUAACACAUGCAAGUCGAACGCACCCUUCGGGGUGAGUGGCAGACGGGUGAGUAACGCGUGGGAACGUGCCCUUUGCUACGGAAUAAUCCCGGGAAACUGGGUUUAAUCCCGUAUGUGCCCUACGGGGGA